Phyllostomus hastatus (greater spear-nosed bat) is the source of this 144-nucleotide long non-coding RNA. RefSeq lists it as uncharacterized. Lineage: Eukaryota; Metazoa; Chordata; Mammalia; Chiroptera; Phyllostomidae. The record is from RefSeq and is a predicted model, not a curated record. The transcript has 3 exons.
GCAGCAGCAUCCUAGAAAAGAAACUGACUGGAAAGCUUCAGGCUGUUUCAGUGUAAGAUGAAGCUACUGCUUCUGAUCGCAGCCAUCUUGGCAAUAACAGUUGGUUUCCCGGUCACUCCAGGCCAGGAAAGAGAACCACGAAGU